UCUCCGUUGGUGAACCAGCGGAGGGAUCAUUACUGGAAUCGCAAGAUCCCACAACCCUGUGAACCUACCGAAACGUUGCCUCGGCGGGUGCCCGGCCUCUGCGCCGGGCGCUGCGCCCGCCGGCGGCCCCCUACUCUGUCUCUGCGGCGUGGCAUCUCAGAGUCCCAGAAAACAAGUCAAAACUUUCAACAACGGAUCUCUUGGCUCUA
This 209-nucleotide unclassified non-coding RNA is filed under the name plant metagenome. RNAcentral describes it as "partial contains small subunit ribosomal RNA, internal transcribed spacer 1, and 5.8S ribosomal RNA". The record is from RNAcentral.